UGGGAAAGAGUAACUUGUGCCAUACUGCCU
RNAcentral lists this non-coding RNA (30 nucleotides) under Mus musculus (house mouse). Lineage: Eukaryota; Metazoa; Chordata; Mammalia; Rodentia; Muridae. The record is from RNAcentral.